CCUACGGGUGACAGCAGUGGGGAAUAUUCCACAAUGGGCGAAAGCCUGAUGCAGCGACGCCGCGUGAGUGAAGAAGUUUUUCGGAUUGUAAAGCUCUAUCAUUAGGGAAGAAAAUGCCGGUACCUAACUAAGAAGCUCUGGCCAAUUACGUGCCAGCAGCCGCGGUAAUACGUCGUGGGCAAGCGUUAUCCGGUAUUACUGGGUGUAAAGGGAGCGUAGGCGGCCAGACAAGGCAGACGUGAAAGCCCAGGGCUCAACCCUGGGACUGCAUUUGAAACUGCCCGGCUUGAGUGCAGGAGAGGUAAGCGGAAUUCCUAGUGUAGCGGUGAAAUGCGUAGAGAUUAGGAGGAACACCAGUGGCGAAGGCGGCUUUCUGGUCUGUAACUGACGCUGAGGCUCGAAAGCGUGGGGAGCAAACAGGAUUAGAUACCCCUGUAGUC
RNAcentral lists this ribosomal RNA (440 nucleotides) under uncultured bacterium. RNAcentral describes it as "partial 16S ribosomal RNA". It matches the Rfam family "Bacterial small subunit ribosomal RNA", at positions 338 to 795 of the family's 1533-position model. The record is from RNAcentral.